GCAAACUUGGUCAUUUAGAGGAAGUAAAAGUCGUAACAAGGUUUCCGUAGGUGAACCUGCGGAAGGAUCAUUAAUAAUUAUCCACAAAAUUAAUGGAUAAUUUUAUCCAUAUCCACCUUGUGUGAAUUAUUGAACCGUCUGUUGGCAGGCUAACAACUUUUCCAAUAAUGGAAAACUGUGCGGUUGGCAUUGAAAAGUUUUCAAUGCUUGUGAAAACCAGUCUGCCAAUUUUAUUUUAUUUUAAAACUUGUCUAAAUACUUCUGGUCUGAAAUAUAUAUAAAUUAUAACAAAAUACAACUUUCAACAACGGAUCUCUUGGCUCUCGCAUCGAUGAAGAACGCAGC
This 345-nucleotide unclassified non-coding RNA is filed under the name uncultured fungus. Its description in RNAcentral is "partial contains small subunit ribosomal RNA, internal transcribed spacer 1, and 5.8S ribosomal RNA". The stretch from base 1 to 73 matches the Rfam family "Eukaryotic small subunit ribosomal RNA", at positions 1759 to 1831 of the family's 1831-position model. The record is from RNAcentral. Lineage: Eukaryota; Fungi.